Molecule: ribosomal RNA, 253 nt
Filed under: uncultured bacterium
Lineage: Bacteria
Description: partial 16S ribosomal RNA
Rfam family: Bacterial small subunit ribosomal RNA
Source: RNAcentral
UACGGAGGGAGCUAGCGUUGUUCGGAAUUACUGGGCGUAAAGGGCGCGUAGGCGGCACGGCAAGUCAGGAGUGAAAGGCCUGGGCUCAACCGAGGAACUGCUUUUGAGACUGCCGAGCUAGAGUGCAGAAGGGGCAACUGGAAUUCCCAGUGUAGCGGUGAAAUGCGUAGAUAUUGGGAAGAACACCUGAGGCGAAGGCGGGUUGCUGGGCUGACACUGACGCUGAGGCGCGAAAGCCAGGGGAGCAAACGGG